GACGAACGCUGGCGGCGUGCUUAACACAUGCAAGUCGAACGGAAAGGCCCUGCUCUUGUGGGGUGCUCGAGUGGCGAACGGGUGUGUAACACGCGAGUAACCCGCCCUUGACUUUGGGAUAACUCCAGGAAACUGGGGCUAAAAUCGGAUAUGAGCUCCUGCUGCAUGGUGGGGGUUGGAAAAUUUCGGCGGUUGGGGCUGGACUCGCGGGUUACCAGCUUCUUGGUGGGGUAGUGGCUUACCAAGGCUUUGACGGGUAGCCGGCCUGGGAGGGUGACCGGCCACAUUGGUACUGAGGUACGGCCCAGACUCCUACGGGCGGCAGCAGUGGGGAAUAUUGCACAGUGGGCGGGAGCCUGAUGCGGCGGCGCCGCGUGCGGGAUAACCGCCUUCGGGUUAUAAACCGCUUUCGCCUGUGACGAAGCGUGAGUGACGGUAAUGGAUAAGGAAGCAACGGCUAACUACGUG
Molecule: ribosomal RNA, 468 nt
Filed under: uncultured bacterium
Lineage: Bacteria
Description: partial 16S ribosomal RNA
Rfam family: Bacterial small subunit ribosomal RNA
Source: RNAcentral